CAGCCGUAAACUAUGCUCGCUAGGUGUCAGGGACGGUGCGACCGUUUCUGGUGCCGCAGGGAAGCCGUGAAGCGAGCCACCUGGGAAGUACGGUCGCAAGGCUGAAACUUAAAGGAAUUGGCGGGGGAGGCACAACAACGGGUGGAGCUUGCGGUUUAAUUGGAUUCAACGCCGGAAAUCUUACCGGGACCGACAGCAACAUGAAGGCCAAGCUGAAGACUUUGCCGGAUUAGCUGAGAGGAGGUGCAUGGCGUAGUCGUGU
Molecule: ribosomal RNA, 262 nt
Filed under: uncultured archaeon
Lineage: Archaea
Description: partial 16S ribosomal RNA
Rfam family: Archaeal small subunit ribosomal RNA
Source: RNAcentral